GAUGAACGCUGGCGGCGUGCCUAAUACAUGCAAGUCGAGCGAACAGACGAGGAGCUUGCUCCUCUGACGUUAGCGGCGGACGGGUGAGUAACACGUGGAUAACCUACCUAUAAGACUGGGAUAACUUCGGGAAACCGGAGCUAAUACCGGAUAAUAUAUUGAACCGCAUGGUUCAAUAGUGAAAGACGGUUUUGCUGUCACUUAUAGAUGGAUCCGCGCCGCAUUAGCUAGUUGGUAAGGUAACGGCUUACCAAGGCAACGAUGCGUAGCCGACCUGAGAGGGUGAUCGGCCACAAUGGAACUGAGACACGGUCCAGACUCCUACGGGAGGCAGCAGUAGGGAAUCUUACGCAAUGGGCGAAAGCCUGACGGAGCAACGCCGCGUGAGUGAUGAAGGUCUUCGGAUCGUAAAACUCUGUUAUUAGGGAAGAACAAAUGUGUAAGUAACUAUGCACGUCUUGACGGUACCUAAUCAGAAAGCCACGGCUAACUACGUG
RNAcentral lists this ribosomal RNA (497 nucleotides) under uncultured bacterium. RNAcentral's name for it is "partial 16S ribosomal RNA". It matches the Rfam family "Bacterial small subunit ribosomal RNA", at positions 28 to 507 of the family's 1533-position model. The record is from RNAcentral.